This 1518-nucleotide ribosomal RNA is filed under the name Streptococcus salivarius. Its description in RNAcentral is "bacterial SSU rRNA". It matches the Rfam family "Bacterial small subunit ribosomal RNA". Lineage: Bacteria; Bacillati; Bacillota; Bacilli; Lactobacillales; Streptococcaceae. The record is from RNAcentral.
CCCUUUGUGUUUGAUUCUGGCUCAGGACGAACGCUGGCGGCGUGCCUAAUACAUGCAAGUAGAACGCUGAAGAGAGGAGCUUGCUCUUCUUGGAUGAGUUGCGAACGGGUGAGUAACGCGUAGGUAACCUGCCUUGUAGCGGGGGAUAACUAUUGGAAACGAUAGCUAAUACCGCAUAACAAUGGAUGACACAUGUCAUUUAUUUGAAAGGGGCAAUUGCUCCACUACAAGAUGGACCUGCGUUGUAUUAGCUAGUAGGUGAGGUAACGGCUCACCUAGGCGACGAUACAUAGCCGACCUGAGAGGGUGAUCGGCCACACUGGGACUGAGACACGGCCCAGACUCCUACGGGAGGCAGCAGUAGGGAAUCUUCGGCAAUGGGGGCAACCCUGACCGAGCAACGCCGCGUGAGUGAAGAAGGUUUUCGGAUCGUAAAGCUCUGUUGUAAGUCAAGAACGAGUGUGAGAGUGGAAAGUUCACACUGUGACGGUAGCUUACCAGAAAGGGACGGCUAACUACGUGCCAGCAGCCGCGGUAAUACGUAGGUCCCGAGCGUUGUCCGGAUUUAUUGGGCGUAAAGCGAGCGCAGGCGGUUUGAUAAGUCUGAAGUUAAAGGCUGUGGCUCAACCAUAGUUCGCUUUGGAAACUGUCAAACUUGAGUGCAGAAGGGGAGAGUGGAAUUCCAUGUGUAGCGGUGAAAUGCGUAGAUAUAUGGAGGAACACCGGUGGCGAAAGCGGCUCUCUGGUCUGUAACUGACGCUGAGGCUCGAAAGCGUGGGGAGCGAACAGGAUUAGAUACCCUGGUAGUCCACGCCGUAAACGAUGAGUGCUAGGUGUUGGAUCCUUUCCGGGAUUCAGUGCCGCAGCUAACGCAUUAAGCACUCCGCCUGGGGAGUACGACCGCAAGGUUGAAACUCAAAGGAAUUGACGGGGGCCCGCACAAGCGGUGGAGCAUGUGGUUUAAUUCGAAGCAACGCGAAGAACCUUACCAGGUCUUGACAUCCCGAUGCUAUUUCUAGAGAUAGAAAGUUACUUCGGUACAUCGGUGACAGGUGGUGCAUGGUUGUCGUCAGCUCGUGUCGUGAGAUGUUGGGUUAAGUCCCGCAACGAGCGCAACCCCUAUUGUUAGUUGCCAUCAUUCAGUUGGGCACUCUAGCGAGACUGCCGGUAAUAAACCGGAGGAAGGUGGGGAUGACGUCAAAUCAUCAUGCCCCUUAUGACCUGGGCUACACACGUGCUACAAUGGUUGGUACAACGAGUUGCGAGUCGGUGACGGCAAGCUAAUCUCUUAAAGCCAAUCUCAGUUCGGAUUGUAGGCUGCAACUCGCCUACAUGAAGUCGGAAUCGCUAGUAAUCGCGGAUCAGCACGCCGCGGUGAAUACGUUCCCGGGCCUUGUACACACCGCCCGUCACACCACGAGAGUUUGUAACACCCGAAGUCGGUGAGGUAACCUUUUGGAGCCAGCCGCCUAAGGUGGGAUAGAUGAUUGGGGUGAAGUCGUAACAGAGGUAACAGAA